GAUAGACGCUGGCGGCGUGCCUAACACAUGCAAGUCGAACGCCCUUUUGCGCAAGUGAGAGGGAGUGGCGGACGGGUGAGUAGCACGUGGGUACCUACCUUGAGGUGAGGAAUACCACCGAGAAAUCGGUGACAAGACCGCAUGUCUUCGGCACCGAAGAAAGUCUCGCAAGAGACGCCACAAGAUGAGCCUGCGCCUGAUUAGCUGGUUGGUGAGGUAACAGCUCACCAAGGCAACGAUCAGUAGCUGGUCUGAGAGGAUGAUCAGCCACACUGGGAUUGAGAACGGCCCAGACUCCUACGGGGGCAGCAGUGAGGAAUUUUCGUCAAUGGGGGC
RNAcentral lists this ribosomal RNA (336 nucleotides) under uncultured bacterium. Its description in RNAcentral is "bacterial SSU rRNA". It matches the Rfam family "Bacterial small subunit ribosomal RNA", at positions 28 to 378 of the family's 1533-position model. The record is from RNAcentral.